RNAcentral lists this ribosomal RNA (451 nucleotides) under uncultured bacterium. RNAcentral's name for it is "partial 16S ribosomal RNA". It matches the Rfam family "Bacterial small subunit ribosomal RNA", at positions 29 to 523 of the family's 1533-position model. The record is from RNAcentral.
AGUGAACGCUGGCGGCAGGCCUAACACAUGCAAGUCGAGCGGCCGUAGCAAUACGGCAGCGGCAGACGGGAGAGUAACACGUGGGAACGCGCCCUUCGGUUCGGGAUAACUCAGGGAAACUUGGGCUAAUACCGGAUACGCCCUUACGGGGAAAGAUUUAUUGCCGAAGGAACGGCCCGCGUCCGAUUAGCUAGUUGGUGAGGUAACGGCUCACCAAGGGGACGAUCGGUAGCUGGUCUGAGAGGAUGACCAGCCUCACUGGGACUGAGACACGGCCCAGACUCCUACGGGAGGCAGCAGUGGGGAAUAUUGGACAAUGGGCGCAAGCCCGAUCCAGCCAUGCCGCGUGGGUGAUGAAGGCCCUAGGGUUGUAAAGCCCUUUCAGCGGGGAAGAUAAUGACGGUACCCGCAGAAGAAGCCCCGGCUAACUUCGUGCCAGCCGCCGCAGUAA